AGUGAAGUGAAGGGGCUCUUUUCGGCCAUUUUUCCAAUGGGGUUUCCGUUUCUAAUUGCAAAGCUCGUCAUUUUCGGCCUCUGAUGUCCUGUAAGUUUAAAUUCCUCGAAGCUUUUCUUUCUACUUCCGAUCAAUGUUUCGUUUCUUUUCCAAAUUACUCUUCAAUCAUACUAUCAUAGACUCCAAAGCGUGUUACCCGUGUUACCCUCGUUAUAUUUCCUCUGUAAAUUCAGCCUCAAGCUCAAAAGACCGACAUCAUUUAACACUCAAUUACCUUACCAACUCAUGUGGGUUGUCUCUACAAAGGGCAACUUCAGCCUGCAAGUUUGUUAAUGUUCAGAGCACAGAUAAAGCGGAUUUGGUUCUUCAACUGCUAAGAUCUAAAGGCUUUACUCAAUCUCAAAUUGCUAGAUUAAUUUCAACGCGACCACAUCUUAUUCUAUACGAUCCCGAUAAAAUCCUUAAACCCAAGAUUGAAUCAUUUGAGUCACUGGGUUUUGUAGCUCCCCGGCUGCCCAGGAUGCUAUGUGCAGAUCCAACUAUUCUAACAACUAGUUUAAAGAAUCGGAUUUUGCCAAAUAUUGAUUUUC
This 590-nucleotide unclassified non-coding RNA is filed under the name Hevea brasiliensis (rubber tree). Lineage: Eukaryota; Viridiplantae; Streptophyta; Magnoliopsida; Malpighiales; Euphorbiaceae. The record is from RNAcentral.